Long non-coding RNA from Oreochromis niloticus (Nile tilapia), 889 nucleotides. RefSeq lists it as uncharacterized. The transcript has 2 exons. Lineage: Eukaryota; Metazoa; Chordata; Actinopteri; Cichliformes; Cichlidae. The record is from RefSeq and is a predicted model, not a curated record.
GGGCUAUAUGAUGCAAGAAAAUUUGUAGGAGAAAAUACACUCACGGGACACUUUACCUACAAGUACACUUUAAAAACAUAUGGAUAUUUAGCGGGAUGCGUAACCACUGUGAGCCACCCCCAACACCAACAUAAUUUAAGGACUUUAUAACUGAAACAACAACAGCUUACAUUUAGUUAUGUUUUAAAGUGCCGUGAGCAUGGCAGCGCCACCCACCCACUGUUAAAACCUGCUGUUUGUGAGAGGCUGCCAAUCAAAAAGACGACUGGCUGAAAGACGGAAGCUAAAAUUGCUCAUUUCAAAUGGAAAAGGGAACAAGAGCUGCAGUAAAGCCCCAAAUAUUAUAAAUAAGCAUUGUUGUAAACUAUGAACAAGCAGAAUAAAUGUGUGGAGCUGGAAAUGAGCACAACUCUCUUUUAAUCACUUUGACUGUCUUCUGUUUGGAAGAUCCAACAAAUGUUGCCAUGUUUUACUCUCUUACUUAUUAGAUACAUGAUUAUAGACAUAUUAGCUGUUAAUAUGUUUAUACAGUGUGCCUUUACUUUGCACAGUAACACAAAACAGUCCUCAAUUUCUGACAAAAAAAUUGUGGCGCUCAUACUGCCAUCUAGUGUUUCAGAUUUUCACUGCACAGUCUGCUCUGACCCCACCCAAAUGCUCUCAGGACUUUCAGAGUCGUGCAAUACGUGGAGACAGAUGGCAUCUGGCACUGUGCGGAUCUCUGCACAUACUCUGUACUUGUGUAUCUUUCAAAGGAUGUGAACCAUUAAAGCUGAAAAAAAAAAAAUCCUACUUUGCUAAAUCGCACACCAAGGACGUCAAAUGAAGCCAACACAGGAAAAUUCCUGGUAAUCCCUAUACCAGGAAGGGUUAGUCACCAUGCAGAACA